RNAcentral lists this ribosomal RNA (2317 nucleotides) under Campylobacter jejuni. RNAcentral's name for it is "partial 23S ribosomal RNA". It matches the Rfam family "Bacterial large subunit ribosomal RNA", at positions 1 to 2322 of the family's 2925-position model. Lineage: Bacteria; Pseudomonadati; Campylobacterota; Epsilonproteobacteria; Campylobacterales; Campylobacteraceae. The record is from RNAcentral.
AGGUAAGCUACUAAGAGCGAAUGGUGGAUGCCUUGACUGGUAAAGGCGAUGAAGGACGUACUAGACUGCGAUAAGCUACGGGGAGCUGUCAAGAAGCUUUGAUCCGUAGAUUUCCGAAUGGGGCAACCCAAUGUAUAGAGAUAUACAUUACCUAUAUAGGAGCGAACGAGGGGAAUUGAAACAUCUUAGUACCCUCAGGAAAAGAAAUCAAUAGAGAUUGCGUCAGUAGCGGCGAGCGAAAGCGCAAGAGGGCAAACCCAGUGCUUGCACUGGGGGUUGUAGGACUGCAAUGUGCAAGAGGUAAGUUUAGCAGAACAUUCUGGAAAGUAUAGCCAUAGAGGGUGAUAGUCCCGUAUGCGAAAAACAAACCUUAGCUAGCAGUAUCCUGAGUAGGGCGGGACACGAGGAAUCCUGUCUGAAUCCGGGUCGACCACGAUCCAACCCUAAAUACUAAUACCAGAUCGAUAGUGCACAAGUACCGUGAGGGAAAGGUGAAAAGAACUGAGGUGAUCAGAGUGAAAUAGAACCUGAAACCAUUUGCUUACAAUCAUUCAGAGCCCUAUGUAGCAAUACAGGGUGAUGGACUGCCUUUUGCAUAAUGAGCCUGCGAGUUGUGGUGUCUGGCAAGGUUAAGCAAACGCGAAGCCGUAGCGAAAGCGAGUCUGAAUAGGGCGCUUAGUCAGAUGCUGCAGACCCGAAACGAAGUGAUCUAUCCAUGAGCAAGUUGAAGCUAGUGUAAGAACUAGUGGAGGACUGAACCCAUAGGCGUUGAAAAGCCCCGGGAUGACUUGUGGAUAGGGGUGAAAGGCCAAUCAAACUUCGUGAUAGCUGGUUCUCUCCGAAAUAUAUUUAGGUAUAGCGUUGUGUCGUAAUAUAAGGGGGUAGAGCACUGAAUGGGCUAGGGCAUACACCAAUGUACCAAACCCUAUCAAACUCCGAAUACCUUAUAUGUAAUCACAGCAGUCAGGCGGCGAGUGAUAAAAUCCGUCGUCAAGAGGGAAACAACCCAGACUACCAGCUAAGGUCCCUAAAUCUUACUUAAGUGGAAAACGAUGUGAAGUUACUUAAACAACCAGGAGGUUGGCUUAGAAGCAGCCAUCCUUUAAAGAAAGCGUAAUAGCUCACUGGUCUAGUGAUUUUGCGCGGAAAAUAUAACGGGGCUAAAGUAAGUACCGAAGCUGUAGACUUAGUUUACUAAGUGGUAGGAGAGCGUUCUAUUUGCGUCGAAGGUAUACCGGUAAGGAGUGCUGGAGCGAAUAGAAGUGAGCAUGCAGGCAUGAGUAGCGAUAAUUAAUGUGAGAAUCAUUAACGCCGUAAACCCAAGGUUUCCUACGCGAUGCUCGUCAUCGUAGGGUUAGUCGGGUCCUAAGUCGAGUCCGAAAGGGGUAGACGAUGGCAAAUUGGUUAAUAUUCCAAUACCAACAUUAGUGUGCGAUGGAAGGACGCUUAGGGCUAAGGGGGCUAGCGGAUGGAAGUGCUAGUCUAAGGUCGUAGGAGGUUAUACAGGCAAAUCCGUAUAACAAUACUCCGAGAACUGAAAGGCUUUUUGAAGUCUUCGGAUGGAUAGAAGAACCCCUGAUGCCGUCGAGCCAAGAAAAGUUUCUAAGUUUAGCUAAUGUUGCCCGUACCGUAAACCGACACAGGUGGGUGGGAUGAGUAUUCUAAGGCGCGUGGAAGAACUCUCUUUAAGGAACUCUGCAAAAUAGCACCGUAUCUUCGGUAUAAGGUGUGGUUAGCUUCGUACUAGGAUUUACUCCGAAAGCGAAGAAACUUACAACAAAGAGUCCCUCCCGACUGUUUACCAAAAACACAGCACUCUGCUAACUCGUAAGAGGAUGUAUAGGGUGUGACGCCUGCCCGGUGCUCGAAGGUUAAUUGAUGGGGUUAGCAUUAGCGAAGCUCUUGAUCGAAGCCCGAGUAAACGGCGGCCGUAACUAUAACGGUCCUAAGGUAGCGAAAUUCCUUGUCGGUUAAAUACCGACCUGCAUGAAUGGCGUAACGAGAUGGGAGCUGUCUCAAAGAGGGAUCCAGUGAAAUUGUAGUGGAGGUGAAAAUUCCUCCUACCCGCGGCAAGACGGAAAGACCCCGUGGACCUUUACUACAGCUUGACACUGCUACUUGGAUAAGAAUGUGCAGGAUAGGUGGGAGGCUUUGAGUAUAUGACGCCAGUUGUAUAUGAGCCAUUGUUGAGAUACCACUCUUUCUUAUUUGGGUAGCUAACCAGCUUGAGUUAUCCUCAAGUGGGACAAUGUCUGGUGGGUAGUUUGACUGGGGCGGUCGCCUCCCAAAUAAUAACGGAGGCUUACAAAGGUUGGCU